This 73-nucleotide transfer RNA is filed under the name Candidatus Korarchaeum sp. RNAcentral's name for it is "tRNA-Val". It matches the Rfam family "tRNA". From Rfam's summary of the family: Transfer RNA (tRNA) molecules are approximately 80 nucleotides in length. Their secondary structure includes four short double-helical elements and three loops (D, anti-codon, and T loops). The record is from RNAcentral. Lineage: Archaea; Thermoproteati; Thermoproteota; Candidatus Korarchaeia; Candidatus Korarchaeales; Candidatus Korarchaeaceae.
GGGCCGGUGGUCUAGUGGCUAUGACGCCGCCCUUACGAGGCGGAGGUCGGGGGUUCGAGUCCCCCCCGGCCCA